GGGGAUAUAGCUCAGUUGGUAGAGUGCUUGCCUUGCAUGCAUGAGGCCCUGGGCUCAAUCCCCAGCACCA
RNAcentral lists this transfer RNA (70 nucleotides) under Urocitellus parryii (Arctic ground squirrel). Its description in RNAcentral is "Spermophilus parryii (Arctic ground squirrel) tRNA". It matches the Rfam family "tRNA". Rfam says of the family: Transfer RNA (tRNA) molecules are approximately 80 nucleotides in length. The record is from Rfam by way of RNAcentral. Lineage: Eukaryota; Metazoa; Chordata; Mammalia; Rodentia; Sciuridae. RNAcentral also lists the same sequence under 1 other name.